AUUGAACGCUGGCGGCAUGCCUUACACAUGCAAGUCGAACGGUAACAGGUCUUCGGAUGCUGACGAGUGGCGAACGGGUGAGUAAUACAUCGGAACGUGCCCGAUCGUGGGGGAUAACGAAGCGAAAGCUUUGCGAAUACCGCAUAAGAUCUACGGAUGAAAGCAGGGGACCGCAAGGCCUUGCGCGAACGGAGCGGCCGAUGGCAGAUUAGGUAGUUGGUGGGAUAAAAGCUUACCAAGCCGACGAUCUGUUGCUGGUCUGAGAGGACGACCAGCCACACUGGGACUGAGACACGGCCCAGACUCCUACGGGAGGCAGCAGUGGGGAAUUUUGGACAAUGGGCGAAAGCCUGAUCCAGCCAUGCCGCGUGCAGGAUGAAGGCCUUCGGGUUGUAAACUGCUUUUGUACGGAACGAAAAGACUCUGGUUAAUACCUGGGGUCCAUGACGGUACCGUAAGAAUAAGCACCGGCUAACUACGUG
This 482-nucleotide ribosomal RNA is filed under the name uncultured bacterium. RNAcentral describes it as "partial 16S ribosomal RNA". It matches the Rfam family "Bacterial small subunit ribosomal RNA", at positions 30 to 507 of the family's 1533-position model. The record is from RNAcentral.